Long non-coding RNA from Panicum virgatum (switchgrass), 6344 nucleotides. RefSeq lists it as uncharacterized. NCBI's taxonomy places the organism in Eukaryota, Viridiplantae, Streptophyta, Magnoliopsida, Poales, Poaceae. The record is from RefSeq and is a predicted model, not a curated record. The transcript is spliced from 2 exons.
UCGUGGAGCUGCCUUUUCAAUACUCAUUAUAUAAUCAAAUGAUUAAAUAAUCUACUGCAGUUUAAAUAGCUUGUUAAAGUAGUUCACUUGCUGAGAUUAUUCAAUCUCACCUUUGUUUCUCUCUCCCCAGGAAAUCCUUUGAAGCUAGCAUGAAGGGAAGUGGGUUAGUUGCACGCCAUACACUUCUACGAUAUCUCUUAAUAAUGUGGUGUACCAUUUUGAGUUUGAUAUAUCUUAUAGUGCUCUUUCUCAUAUUCGUUAAGGAUGUAAAGUUAUCUUGUUGGAGUUUCACGCUUUACUUAUUUAUAUAUCUAUCUGUCGUUGCUUCCACGUUGUACUCGUUUCUAUGGUUAUGCUGUCGAAAUUUUCUAUUUCGGCAUUUUACAGUGCAGUUGUGUAGCAUCCUAGGGUUGCGUGAUCCCUGGGAUGUUACAGUUGGCAUCAGAGCUUAGGUUUUAGAUUCUCGGUAAAAUAAGGCUUAAUUUGACACACUUGCACAUGUAGAAUGGGUUUGGGUUUUGCAUAAUUGCAUGUCAUCUUUCUCUUUAAUAGUAUGAUGAAUUUCUAUCUUGAUACUUUACUCUUUUGGUAUGGUUGGGUGGUAUGGAAUAUGAUUUUGAUUUUUUUGGUAGUAGGAUAUACUUUUUGAUAUAUGGCAUUAUUAUUUUGCACUGAUUGUCUUAUGUGUCGUGUCUAUGGUAUUUUAUUCUAUUGGUACCUUAGUUCGGAAUGCAUGGUUGCCAUUUAUAUGCUUCACUAUUUUUGCUUUAGUAUAAUUGUUGAUAGUCUCGAAUUUAUUGUGCGGUAUAAUUUUGUCAUUGUUUGACAAUAAUGUGUUGUAAUGCUUGAUGAUGUAGCGUUCUUUUGGGUUGAGAAGUUUUAUCGACCUUGAGGUUUGAAGUACCCUAGAAAUUUGUAAGACUAGAGAAAGUUUAGUUUGGCAAUAGAGAUGGGUUGUGUGGAGGGCCCCAACAAUACUCUUUCUGCAUUGCUGAAUGAGGGAUGCCCGAGUAUUAGGGUUGCGAUCUAACACUCGAUAUACGAAGUUAAUAGUUGAGUGACGGGUGGAUUGGCCCCCAUGCCGUGCAUUCUAACUAUUUUUUUUCGGUAUAUGGAAUGAUGGAUCGUUGGUGCCUUGCCCUAUAGGUUGGAGUGACAAUGUUUAGCCUGACCUUAGCUUGGUGUAGGGUUUUCCCCAAUGGAGUAGAGGUAAUUUUUUAUGCCUAUCAAAAGUAGAACUGAGAGAAUCCAUGUGGAAUUUUGGGAGGUUACAAGUGUUAGAUAUAUCGGUGUGCUUGUUGAGUUGCGCUUUUGUUGGCUUAGACCUACAUGGGGCAUAAGAGCUUGCUUUUUGAGGUGUCUUUGUGAGGUGGCUGGUUGGGCACGUGGCGUCUAUGCAGUGUUCUUUGGUAUGAUUGGUUAUUCCUACUAUCCCAAAGGUCAUAUUUUGGUUCUAUGUGUUUCUUGGGAUAUGUAUUCGGAGUGGUCUGCAUGAUAUAUGAGCAAUGAUGGAGUUUUUGAUAAUUGGUUGCAUUAUUGUAAUGCUAGUUGGGGGAUGCCAUUUCUUAGAUUUUUUUAUGAUUACUUUUGGAAUGAUAUAAUUAUGGGAUGUUGUAGGCUUGACCCCGCAUGACAAAAUCUAAGGUGUGUUUGGUUUGUUCUCAAGUUGAGGUCUCUCAUGUUCACUUGGCAAGCCAUGAUUCAUUCCAUGUUGUUUACUUGACCCUUGUCAUGUGCAUGCUUUAUGGUGUUAAUAAUCAAGUUUGCGGGCCUGAUUCGAUGAGUGAGUUUUAAGAAGAUUUGAGUUUUUGUUGUGAGUGUAGCCCUUCUUUCUCUUAAUACUAUCUUCGAGGUUCCAAUAGGUCCUACAUGCGGAUCUAGUAUUGUGGCUUGUAGUUUAUUAUUUUGGAGCUAGUUCAUAUGGCAAGUGGUUGAUCCAAGUUCGUUGCUUAGUAAGAGUUAUACCAAGGAGUCUAGUUAGAUCAUUUGUUUUGAUUGGAGUUCUAGCUUGAGUCUUAUCGCUCUAGGAAAGAUAAUUGUUGAGGAGCAAUUAUGUUGUUAUGAUAUGCUCUGAGUAGUUGUGCUCGAGUUUGUUGGAGCAUGUUAUGAAGAAGAGUUAAGUGCCCUCCUAAAAUCAUGCUAGGAUAUGUGGGCAUUUUAGCUCAAAUUCUUUUUUCUUUGACAGUUUAAAGGAGGUAUGGCUCGAAAGAUGAAUUUGAUGGAAGUGUUGCUUUGAACUCAGUUAUAAUAGUAGGGAUUUACGUUCUGUAUGCAUUUCUGUUUCCUACAUGGGUUCUCAUGCAUUUUGGUCUAUUAAUGUAGUAUUGCCCAUUUGAGGCUAUUGUUUGGUAUGGAUUAUCAUUCUUGGUGUUUAAGGUAUUAUGUCCCUAUGACAUUAGAUCAUUUUAAGAAUUAGGUGGGUCGGUGCAAAGUUUUGGAGUAAUCAUGGAAUACUUUAAAGAUUUAAAGUUUCAUUAGACAAUUAAGUCCAAGCAUGGACUCGUGUUCUUCAGUGGUGGUGCCACGUAGGGUACUCUGGAUGCUUUAACAAUAUCUUUUCAUAUUCAUGUUUUUAAGUGGUCGAAUUCGAGGACGAAUUCAUUUUAAGGGGGGUAGAAUGUAAUGCCAUUAAAACUAAAAUGUCACUAAUCACGUAUACUUCAUGAAAAAUUUAGACUGAUGUUAUGAUGUUUGGUUGUCUAUGUACUAAUGGAUUAUGCUUUUGAGCAAAAUACGCUCUGUUCGUUAGAAAGUAUAAAAUAUGUACAUGUUGACCGGAUAUUUUAAGGAGAGGAAAAAGUUGACUUUUUAAUCCGUAGUUUGUAUAGAAAAUCGGAGAAUGUAGAUGCGUAGAUCUUUCUGAAAGCAAUCCGUUUGAGUACUCAUAUGUAGUAUUUAGAUUUAUGAUCAUGGAGAUAUGUGCAUCCGAAGAAUCAAGGGAUGGGAUGAAUUUAGAAAAAAAAAGGAACGUACCCCUUCAACCUAGUUCGGCCUCCCCUUCCCCUUUGCCGACACCCCUGAAGCGCCCCCCUCCUCACGACCCCUCCCCCUAGCCAGGGUUUUUUUUACCGACCGGUCGCCUGAAACCGCCGGCCUCCGGACCGAUUUGACCGGUUACCGAAAAAACCGGUCAAAUUCAAAUUCAAAUUCAAAAGUGCCAGUUCAACCGGUUAGCCAGCCGGUUUGGUCCUUAAACCGGUCCGGUUUGAGUGGUAAUCGGGUCGGUGAACAAAAAAACCGACGGACCCCAAAAUAUUCGUUCAUUUUGUAUGAAAUAAAUGAAAAUUUUGGCCUGAGCUUUGCACAUAUUAAUGUAAAAGACCACACCAAAGCAACAAUUUAUAAUCAUGCAUACAAAUACAAUAGUAAUAAGCCUUGUAGUCUAAGUGGUGGACCCCAUUUCUUUUUUGGUUUAACUUCAAAUGCCCGCAAAGUAUACUAAAUGAACGAAUAUUUGAAAAAAUUGACACCAUUAGAUUCGUCGCAACAUGAAGUAUUUUUAGAAUUUAUUUGGGAUUUUUUCAUUUUUGAAUUCAAAUUUGAAUUUUAAAUUUGGGCCGGUUUGAAACCGGCGGGUACCGGAAACGGUCCGGACUGGUUUGACCGGUAACCGAGGUUUCCGUCCGGUUCUAGUCGGUAAAAAAAACCCUGCCCCCAGCACACUUUCUCCUCUCUCCAUUGCUCCCUCCUCCCUCAGGUUCGCUCCAUUGUAGCCUCAAUCAAGAAAGCGGAGCAUCAAAACGGAUUGAGAAGGAAGAGAGGAUCGAGGGGAUAGGCGAGAUUAGUGUUUUCCCCAAUCUUCCCUUACGGAUUCUCAUGGAGAACCCCAUGGAACUCGAGAUAUGGCUGAAUCAAUGUGACUGUUCAUGUGGCCUGGCAGAUCUGGUCAGGUAUGUUCAUUGGUGAUUUUCACCUUGUAAAUGGCCGAAUUGGCUCUUCCAUCUAUGAAGACUUUUGUAGAGGGAUAAAAGUUCUUACUGCCAGCAAAAUUUCAUGUUUUUUAUUGUAUAGUUUAGGAGAUAUGGAUUUCUCUAUAUUGGUGCAUGGGCUGUUAGGCAGAUUCAGAAGUGCUGUUUUAUGUGAUGUUUUACGUGACCUUAGAGGCUCAACAAAAUUAUUAUUUGACAACCAAAUUUUUAGUUUAUUCUCUGAAGUUGCCAAAUAUGUAUUUAUUUGGUACCUAGCCUGUUGUAUAAAAAUAGAUACAAAAAAGAGAAGCACUACUGCUCUUCUUUAAUGAUGGUGACAGGGCUUGAUGUUUGUCGAUUCUUGUUUAUAUUGGGGGUUUUGGUCAUAUGACCACUUUAUAUCUCUAUAUGAGAAUACUGUUUGGAGUUCUUGUGCUGAUAUAUGACUGGUUUAGCAGGUGGUGUUGCUAUAAGGAGUCUAUGCAUAGAUACAUUGUCGAUAAAGUCAAGUGAACGUAGCUGUUGCGUUGCUACAACUUUAACAUUCUAUUUUUUACUGCCUCCACUUAUAAAAUACAGCACACAUACUUAUACGUGAUAAUGUAAAAUUUUAGAAAUGACUCAUAUUUAUUUGGUGAAGUUUGAAACGAGGUCGCUAAUAUAAAUUUAGAGGUAACAUUGCUUUUUACAUCAGCAUGGGUGGAUAGAUAAAUGAAAUGGUCUAUAUGUGGUAGAUUAUGAAUUAUGGUUGGGGAUAAAGGUAUAUUUACAUAUGACAAAUGCUUAGCAAUUUAUCAUAUGACAUGUUUUUCAUUGAAUAAAAUCUAUGGAAUUCUUGGCAGUUUACUAGUGAGUGGGCUUGUUAUAGUAGUGAUAUGUUAAUCUUGGUGUAUGAAAAUCUCUGAGGUGUUUACACUACCUUAUGUCUCCUAGUGCUAUCAUGUGAGGUGAACUUCAAUUUCGAUUCUGAGUAAGGUUUGAUGUAGAUUCCUACUAUUCUUUGGUUUAUGUCUUCAAAUAUAUGGAUUGAAUCUUGGGUUGAUUGCCUCUACUUAGUUAUGUUUUUUCUUUAUCUGAUAGAUAUGCUUGGGACUUGGAUUAUGGAAUUAUUUUUCUGUAUGUUUAAAAUCUUAGUGGCUACACGCUAUCCCGUUUCUGUUGACUAAGGUGAUCUACAUAUAUGAAAGUACGAAUAAUUGUCUAUUGAUAUCUGCAUCAUAUGAUUAUUUAGUCAUGGUUGGUGCUGUUUAUGUUGAAGAAGUAUUGUUUGCAUCUCUCGCAUUAACUAUCAGGGAUUAUCCUUAUUUUCCAUCAUGGAGUACUUGGUAUUUGAAUUUGGAGUAUAUGAUAUCUGGCUUUGAAGAUCCUGUUGCAUUGCAUUGCAUUGCACCACAUUUUAUGGCAUUUGGAGUUAUGUUACGAACCUAUGAUUGCGACCGUACCGGUACAACAUCGUUUAUUGGGCAUAACGAUGCAGCUUCAUACCUUGUUGGGUAUGAAGGCAGGAGUUCAUAUGCAUCCAUGUGCAUAAAGCAUCAUUGGUUUGGCAUAAUAUUACAGCUUCAUGGCUUGAUGGUAUGGAUACAGGAGUUCCAGUGCAUUGAUUUGUUAUUUUUUAAAAAAUGGUUGAUUGUUGGAUGUGGAGUUAUCUUUGUAAACACAUAUGCUAUGCUCUUAUGCUGACACACACUAUGGUGUUGCUUAUGGAAUUUUUGAAAUGCCAUAUGAGUGCCUCUUGCAUUCCCCUGCUUUACUAUGUGGAUAUUUGAGUAUUGGUGGGUAUAGUCACAUUGAAGCUAAUAUAGUUGUGAUGCUUCUCCAUCGUGAUGUGCAUUUUGGUAUGACUUACGAGAAUAUGGAGAUAUUAUCUACAUUCCUAUGCACCUCAACUUGAUAGAAUAUGUUAUUCCAUUUCUAGUAUGCUAUAUGGUCUACACGUCUCUACAUUUACUUCUAGUUUUAUGGAGACCUAUAUGUCAUGUUUUGGAUUACUUACUAUCAUCCUUUUUGGGAUCUUAUAUUACCCGUUAUAAGUAGCUGGUAACAAAAGAAUGUUAUGUUGUCAUGGGUAUGUUCUGGAUAUACCAAGUACAUUCGUGGAGCUGCCUCUUCAAUACUCGUUAUAUUAUCAAAUGAUUAAAUAAUCUACUGCAGUUUAAAUAGCUUGUUAAAGUAGUUCACUUGCUGAGAUUAUUCAAUCUCACCCUUAUUUAUCUCUCCCCAGGAAAUCCUUUGAAGCUAGCAUGAAGGGAAGUGGGUUAGUUGCACGCCAUACACUUCUAUGAGAUCUCUUAAUAAUGUGGUGUACCAUUUUUGAGUUUGAUAUAUCUUAUAGUGCUCUUUCUCAUAUUCAUUAAGGAUGUAAAGUUAUCUUGUUGGAGUAUCACGCUUUACUUAUUUAUAUAUCUAUCUGUCAUUGCUUCCGCGUUGUACUCA